CAGUCGUACCAGCGGGAAAUCAACCUUUCGAGCGGAGUUUUGAAGAGUGUCAAAACCUUUGAGAUUUCAAAGUGCUCGCUCUUUUGGUGUACUUUCUCGUGGGUAGGUUAACAUCGAUUUUGAUCAUCAUAAAAAGAUUGGAGGAAUGUAGCUUCGAUCUUGUAUUGAAGUGUUAUAGCCUUUGGUAAAUGUGAUGAUUAGGAUCGAGGAUUGCAACGAAUACCCUUUUGGGCUAUCCGCCUGAUCUCUGAUACGUGGCCUUGGUAUCGAAAGCGUGCUUACGGUAUUGAGGUAUUACGGUCAAAAGGUUAGAACGUGAUUACA
Molecule: ribosomal RNA, 324 nt
Filed under: uncultured Glomeromycotina
Lineage: Eukaryota; Fungi; Glomeromycota
Description: LSU rRNA
Source: RNAcentral